GCCAGGCUUGGUGACAUGUACCUGUAGUCCCAGCUACUCAGGAGGCUGAGGUAGGAGUAUCACUUGAGCCCAAGAUUUCUGGGCUGUAGUACAAUAUAACGAUUGGGUGUCUACACCAAGUUUGGCAUCAUUAUGGUGACUUCCUGGGAGUGGGGGACCACCAGGCUUGCCUAAGGAGGGGUGAACCGGCCCAGGUUGGAAAUGGAGCAGGUCAGAACUCCCAUACCACUACACUCCAGCCUGGGCAACAUAGCGAGACUCAGUCUCU
RNAcentral lists this signal recognition particle RNA (268 nucleotides) under Saimiri boliviensis boliviensis (Bolivian squirrel monkey). Its description in RNAcentral is "Metazoan signal recognition particle RNA (ENSSBOG00000000880.1)". It matches the Rfam family "Metazoan signal recognition particle RNA". From Rfam's summary of the family: The signal recognition particle (SRP) is a universally conserved ribonucleoprotein. It is involved in the co-translational targeting of proteins to membranes. The eukaryotic SRP consists of a 300-nucleotide 7S RNA and six proteins: SRPs 72, 68, 54, 19, 14, and 9. The record is from RNAcentral. Lineage: Eukaryota; Metazoa; Chordata; Mammalia; Primates; Cebidae.